UACAUGGGGUGCAAACGUUGUUCGGAAUUACUGGGCGUAAAGCGCGUGUAGGCUGCGAUGUAAGUCGGACGUGAAAGCCCUUGGCUUAACCAAGGAAGUGCAUCCGAUACUGUGUCGCUUGAGUACCGGAGGGGAUGGCGGAAUUCCCGGUGUAGAGGUGAAAUUCGUAGAUAUUAGGAAGAACACCAGUGGCGAAGGCGGCUCACUGGCCCGGUACUGACGCUGAGGUACGAAAGCGUGGGGAGCAAACAGG
RNAcentral lists this ribosomal RNA (253 nucleotides) under uncultured bacterium. RNAcentral describes it as "partial 16S ribosomal RNA". It matches the Rfam family "Bacterial small subunit ribosomal RNA", at positions 524 to 776 of the family's 1533-position model. The record is from RNAcentral.